RNAcentral lists this ribosomal RNA (283 nucleotides) under uncultured Lachnospiraceae bacterium. RNAcentral's name for it is "partial 16S ribosomal RNA". The stretch from base 45 to 283 matches the Rfam family "Bacterial small subunit ribosomal RNA", at positions 100 to 339 of the family's 1533-position model. The record is from RNAcentral. Lineage: Bacteria; Bacillati; Bacillota; Clostridia; Lachnospirales; Lachnospiraceae.
CUUUUGCGGAUUUCUUCGGAUUGAAGCAACUGUGACUGAGCGGCGGACGGGUGAGUAACGCGUGGGUAACCUGCCUCAUACAGGGGGAUAACAGUUGGAAACGGCUGCUAAUACCGCAUAAGCGCACAGUACCGCAUGGUACCGUGUGAAAAACUCCGGUGGUACAAGAUGGACCCGCGUUGGAUUAGCUAGUUGGUGAGGUAACGGCCCACCAAGGCGACGAUCCAUAGCCGACCUGAGAGGGUGACCGGCCACAUUGGGACUGAGACACGGCCCAAACUCC